UUGUUGGUAAGGUAAAGGCUUACCAAGGCUUCGAUCAGUAGCUGGUCUGAGAGGACGGCCAGCCACACUGGGACUGAGACACGGCCCAGACUCCUACGGGAGGCAGCAGUGGGGAAUUUUGGACAAUGGGGGAAACCCUGAUCCAGCCAUGCCGCGUGAGUGAAGAAGGCRUUCGUUGUAAAGCUCUUUCAGCCGGAACGAAACGGUUACGGAUAAUACCCGUGACUACUGACGGUACCGGAAGAAGAAGCACCGGCUAACUACGUGCCAGCAGCCGCGGUAAUACGUAGGGUGCGAGUGUUAAUCGGAAUUACUGGGCGUAAAGCGUGCGCAGGUGGUUUUGUAAGUCAGAUGUGAAAGCCCCGGGCUCAACCUGGGAACUGCGUUUGAAACUACAAGACUAGAGUGUGGCAGAGGGGGGUGGAAUUCCGCGUGUAGCAGUGAAAUGCGUAGAGAUGUGGAGGAACACCGAUGGCGAAGGCAGCCCCCUGGGUUAACACUGACACUCAGGCACGAAAGCAUGGGGAGCAAACAGGAUUAGAUACCCUGGUAGUCCAUGCCCUAAACGAUGUCAACUAGUUGUCGGGCCUUUACGGGCUUGGUAACGUAGCUAACGCGUGAAGUUGACCGCCUGGGGAGUACGAUCGCAAGAUUAAAACUCAAAUGAAUUGACGGGGACCCGCACAAGCGGUGGAUUAUGUGGAUUAAUUCGAUGCAACGCGAAAAACCUUACCUACCCUUGACAUGUAUCGAAGCCCGCAGAAAAGCGGGGGUGCCCGAAAGGGAACGAUAACACAGGUGCUGCAUGGCUGUCGUCAGCUCGUGUCGUGAGAUGUUGGGUUAAGUCCCGCAACGAGCGCAACCCUUGUCAUUAAUUGCCAUCAUUUAGUUGGGCACUUUAAUGAGACUGCCGG
RNAcentral lists this ribosomal RNA (914 nucleotides) under uncultured bacterium. RNAcentral describes it as "bacterial SSU rRNA". It matches the Rfam family "Bacterial small subunit ribosomal RNA", at positions 246 to 1155 of the family's 1533-position model. The record is from RNAcentral.